GGUGUUGUAGCUCAGUGGUAGAGCACUUACCUAGCAUGUGUGAGGCCCUGGGUUAGAUCCUCAGCACCACAU
This 72-nucleotide transfer RNA is filed under the name Marmota marmota marmota (Alpine marmot). It matches the Rfam family "tRNA". From Rfam's summary of the family: Transfer RNA (tRNA) molecules are approximately 80 nucleotides in length. Their secondary structure includes four short double-helical elements and three loops (D, anti-codon, and T loops). The record is from Rfam by way of RNAcentral. RNAcentral also lists the same sequence under 3 other names. Lineage: Eukaryota; Metazoa; Chordata; Mammalia; Rodentia; Sciuridae.